This 224-nucleotide long non-coding RNA is filed under the name Mytilus galloprovincialis (Mediterranean mussel). The record is from RNAcentral. Lineage: Eukaryota; Metazoa; Mollusca; Bivalvia; Mytilida; Mytilidae.
GAACUUUUUAGUUUUCAUUCACAGCAGCUUGCUAAAUACAAUUUUGAGGAAAAGGUAGUUGUAGCAACAAAUGCUCAGGAUGUUCAGUGUUAUCCAACACUUAAUGAUGUUUCAAGUUAAGCACCAUGUUUUCACAAAGAGACUGAAACUAGAAUCAAGAUAGAUGUGUCUGAAGCAGUGAAACACAGACUUAACUGAGUCAUGACUCGAACAGUCGAUACUAA